AACGAACGCUGGCGGCAGGCCUAACACAUGCAAGUCGAACGCCGUAGCGAUACGGAGUGGCAGACGGGUGAGUAACGCGUGGGAACAUACCCCUCGGUUCGGAAUAACUCAGGGAAACUUGAGCUAAUACCGGAUAAGUCCGAGGUUUUAAUUCGACCUUGGAGAAAGAUUUAUCGCCGGAGGAUUGGCCCGCGUCUGAUUAGCUUGUUGGUGAGGUAAUGGCUCACCAAGGCGACGANCAGUAGCUGGUCUGAGAGGAUGAUCAGCCACAUUGGGACUGAGACACGGCCCAAACUCCUACGGGAGGCAGCAGUGGGGAAUUGUUCGCAAUGGGCGCAAGCCUGACGACGCAACGCCGCGUGGAGGAUGAAGGUCUUCGGAUUGUAAACUCCUGUGCUCGGGACGAAAUGCUCCAAUCUAAUAUGUUGGAGUUUGACGGUACCGAGUGAGGAAGCCCCGGCUAACUCUGUGCCAGCCGCCGCGGUAAU
RNAcentral lists this ribosomal RNA (488 nucleotides) under uncultured bacterium. RNAcentral's name for it is "bacterial SSU rRNA". It matches the Rfam family "Bacterial small subunit ribosomal RNA", at positions 29 to 524 of the family's 1533-position model. The record is from RNAcentral.